Molecule: ribosomal RNA, 403 nt
Filed under: uncultured bacterium
Lineage: Bacteria
Description: partial 16S ribosomal RNA
Rfam family: Bacterial small subunit ribosomal RNA
Source: RNAcentral
AUUGAACGCUGGCGGCAGGCCUAACACAUGCAAGUCGAGCGAGCGGCGGACGGGUGAGUAAUGUAUGGGGACUGCCCGAUAGAGGGGGAUAACUCCUGGAAACGGUAGCUAAUUCCGCAUAUUAUCCGAUAACCCAUAUGGGAUAAGCUAUUAGGUGAGGUAAUGGCUCACCUCGGCGACGACCCCUAGCUGGUCUGAGAGGAUGAUCAGCCAGACUGGGAUUGAGAGGCGGCCCAGACUCCUACGGAGGCAGCAGUGGGGAAUAUUGGACAAUGGGCGCAAGCCUGAUGUGGCCAUGCCGCGUGUAUGAAGAAGGCCCUAGGGUUGUAAAGAACUUUCAGUCGGGAGGCGUUACCGACAGAAGAAGCACCGGCUAACUCCGUGCCAGCAGCCGCGGUAAUUC